This 253-nucleotide ribosomal RNA is filed under the name uncultured bacterium. Its description in RNAcentral is "partial 16S ribosomal RNA". It matches the Rfam family "Bacterial small subunit ribosomal RNA", at positions 524 to 776 of the family's 1533-position model. The record is from RNAcentral.
UACGUAGGGGGCAAGCGUUGUCCGGAAUUAUUGGGCGUAAAGGGCUCGUAGGCGGUCUGUCACGUCGGGGGUGAAAACUCAGGGCUUAACCCUGAGCCUGCUUCCGAUACGGGCAGACUAGAGGUAUGCAGGGGAGAACGGAAUUCCUGGUGUAGCGGUGAAAUGCGCAGAUAUCUGGAAGAACACCCGUGGCGAAGGCGGCUCUCUGGGACGGUACUGACGCUGAGACGCGAAAGCGUGGGGAGCGAACAGG